Molecule: ribosomal RNA, 492 nt
Filed under: uncultured bacterium
Lineage: Bacteria
Description: partial 16S ribosomal RNA
Rfam family: Bacterial small subunit ribosomal RNA
Source: RNAcentral
AGUGAACGCUGGCGGUAGGCCUAACACAUGCAAGUCGAACGGCAGCACAGUAAGAGUUUGCUCUUACGGGUGGCGAGUGGCGGACGGGUGAGGAAUACAUCGGAAUCUACUUUUUCGUGGGGGAUAACGUAGGGAAACUUACGCUAAUACCGCAUACGAUCUACGGGUGAAAGCAGGGGAUCUUCGGACCUUGCGCGAUUGAAUGAGCCGGUGUCGGAUUAGCUAGUUGGCGGGGUAAAGGCCCACCAAGGCGACGAUCCGUAGCUGGUCUGAGAGGAUGAUCGGCCACACUGGAACGGAGACACGGUCCAGACUCCUACGGGAGGCAGCAGUGGGGAAUAUUGGGCAAUGGGCGCAAGCCUGAUCCAGCCAUACCGCGUGGGUGAAGAAGGCCUUCGGGUUGUAAAGCCCUGUUGUUGGGAAAGAAAAGCAGCAGGUUAAUACCCCGCUGUUCUGACGGUACCCAAAGAAUAAGCACCGGCUAACUUCGUG